Molecule: ribosomal RNA, 454 nt
Filed under: uncultured bacterium
Lineage: Bacteria
Description: bacterial SSU rRNA
Rfam family: Bacterial small subunit ribosomal RNA
Source: RNAcentral
GACGAACGCUGGCGGCAUGCCUAACACAUGCAAGUCGAACGAGACCUUCGGGUCUAGUGGCGCACGGGUGCGUAACGCGUGGGAAUCUGCCCUGGGGUACGGAAUAACAGUGAGAAAUUACUGCUAAUACCGUAUGAUGACGUAAGUCCAAAGAUUUAUCGCCCUGGGAUGAGCCCGCGUAGGAUUAGCUUGUUGGUGAGGUAAAAGCUCACCAAGGCGACGAUCCUUAGCUGGUCUGAGAGGAUGAUCAGCCACACUGGGACUGAGACACGGCCCAGACUCCUACGGGAGGCAGCAGGUGGGGAAUAUUGGACAAUGGGGCGAAAGCCUGAUCCAGCAAUGCCGCGUGAGUGAUGAAGGCCUUAGGGUUAGUAAAGCUCUUUUACCCGGGAAGAUAAAUGACUGUACCGGGAGAAUAAGCCCCGGCUAACUCCGUGCCAGCAGCCGCGGUAAU